RNAcentral lists this ribosomal RNA (377 nucleotides) under uncultured bacterium. RNAcentral describes it as "bacterial SSU rRNA". It matches the Rfam family "Bacterial small subunit ribosomal RNA", at positions 521 to 896 of the family's 1533-position model. The record is from RNAcentral.
UAAUACGGAGGGUGCGAGCGUUGUUCGGAAUUAUUGGGCGUAAAGCGCGUGCAGGCGGUCUGUUAAGUCUGGUGUGAAAGCCCGGGGCUCAACCCCGGAAGUGCAUUGGAUACUGGCAGACUUGAGUAUGGGAGAGGAAAGCGGAAUUCCGAGUGUAGGAGUGAAAUCCGUAGAUAUUCGGAGGAACACCAGUGGCGAAGGCGGCUUUCUGGACCAAUACUGACGCUGAGACGCGAAAGCGUGGGGAGCAAACAGGAUUAGAUACCCUGGUAGUCCACGCCGUAAACGAUGGGCACUAGGUGUUGCGGGUAACCACUCCUGCAGUGCCGAAGCUAACGCAUUAAGUGCCCCGCCUGGGGAGUACGGCCGCAAGGCUA